UACGAGAGGCCCAACCGUUAUUCGGAAUUACUGGGCUUAAAGAGUUCGUAGGCGGCGCGGAAAGUAGGGUGUGAAAGCCCUCGGCUCAACCGAGGAAUUGCGCCCUAAACUGCCGUGCUUGAGGAACCUAGAGGUGAGCAGAACAGAUGGUGGAGCGGUGAAAUGCGUUGAUAUCAUCUGGAAUACCGGAGGCGAAGGCGGCUCACUGGGGGUUUUCUGACGCUGAGGAACGAAAGCCAGGGGAGCGAACGGG
Molecule: ribosomal RNA, 253 nt
Filed under: uncultured bacterium
Lineage: Bacteria
Description: partial 16S ribosomal RNA
Rfam family: Bacterial small subunit ribosomal RNA
Source: RNAcentral